GAGAGUUUGAUCCUGGCUCAGAAUCAACGCUGGCGGCGUGCCUAACACAUGCAAGUCGAACGAGAAAGUGGAGCAAUCCAUGAGUAAAGUGGCGUACGGGUGAGUAACACGUGACUAACCUACCCUUGAGUGGGGAAUAACUUCGGGAAACCGAGGCUAAUACCGCAUAACACCUUCGGGUCAAAGGAGCAAUUCGCUUAAGGAGGGGGUCGCGGCUGAUUAGCUAGUUGGUAGGGUAAUGGCCUACCAAGGCGAUGAUCAGUAUCCGGCCUGAGAGGGCGCACGGACACACUGGAACUGAAACACGGUCCAGACUCCUACGGGAGGCAGCAGUG
RNAcentral lists this ribosomal RNA (335 nucleotides) under Acidobacteriota bacterium. RNAcentral's name for it is "bacterial SSU rRNA". It matches the Rfam family "Bacterial small subunit ribosomal RNA", at positions 7 to 356 of the family's 1533-position model. Lineage: Bacteria; Pseudomonadati; Acidobacteriota. The record is from RNAcentral.